CGAAGGUGGCAAGCGUUGUUCGGAUUUACUGGGCGUACAGGGAGCGUAGGCGGUUGGAUAAGCCCUCCGUGAAAUCUCCAGGCUUAACCUGGAAAGUGCAGAGGGGACUGUUCAGCUAGAGGAUGGGAGAGGAGCGCGGAAUUCCCGGUGUAGCGGUGAAAUGCGUAGAGAUCGGGAGGAAGGCCGGUGGCGAAGGCGGCGCUCUGGAACAUUUCUGACGCUGAGGCUCGAAAGCGUGGGGAACAAACAGGAUUAGAUACCCUGGUAGUCCACGCCUUAAACGAUGGAUACUAAGUGUCGGCGGGUUACCGCCGGUGCCGCAGCUAACGCAGUAAGUAUCCCGCCUGGGAAGUACGGCCGCAAGGUUG
RNAcentral lists this ribosomal RNA (368 nucleotides) under uncultured organism. RNAcentral describes it as "bacterial SSU rRNA". It matches the Rfam family "Bacterial small subunit ribosomal RNA", at positions 526 to 896 of the family's 1533-position model. The record is from RNAcentral.